CGUGAGGAACCUGCCUUGGAGAGGGGGAUAACACUCCGAAAGGAGUGCUAAUACCGCAUGAUGCAGUUGGGUCGCAUGGCUCUGACUGCCAAAGAUUUAUCGCUCUGAGAUGGCCUCGCGUCUGAUUAGCUAGUAGGCGGGGUAACGGCCCACCUAGGCGACGAUCAGUAGCCGGACUGAGAGGUUGACCGGCCACAUUGGGACUGAGACACGGCCCAG
RNAcentral lists this ribosomal RNA (219 nucleotides) under uncultured bacterium. RNAcentral's name for it is "partial 16S ribosomal RNA". It matches the Rfam family "Bacterial small subunit ribosomal RNA", at positions 116 to 334 of the family's 1533-position model. The record is from RNAcentral.